UGGAUUAGUGGCGAACGGGUGAGUAACACGUGAGUAACCUGCCCUCCACUUUGGGAUAACUCCGAGAAAUCGGGGCUAAUACUGGAUAUGACCUUGGCCCGCAUGGGUUGUGGUGGAAAGUUUUCGGUGGGGGAUGGGCUCGCGGCCUAUCAGUUUGUUGGUGAGGUAGUGGCUCACCAAGGCGAUGACGGGUAGCCGGCCUGAGAGGGCGACCGGCCACACUGGGACUGAGACACGGCCCAG
This 243-nucleotide ribosomal RNA is filed under the name uncultured Actinomycetales bacterium. RNAcentral describes it as "partial 16S ribosomal RNA". It matches the Rfam family "Bacterial small subunit ribosomal RNA", at positions 88 to 334 of the family's 1533-position model. The record is from RNAcentral. Lineage: Bacteria; Bacillati; Actinomycetota; Actinomycetes; Actinomycetales.